AUAACAGCAAGCAAGUCUUGUUGGACGGGGAGCUCGAAAAUACACACAUACACACAGACUACACGUAAAAUAACAUCCAUCCCUAAAACCAAGCCCAUUUUCACUUUUGCCACGCAGCGGCGCACACGUUCUCUCCGGAGUGGAAGAAAAAGUAUAACAAAAAUUAUAAAUUUAACUGUGCACAAACAAUAAUACAUAAUAAAAUAAAUAAAAGUAUUAUUAAUACAAAAGUAUACUAAAUAAAUAGUAACAAAUAAAUAAGUAACAAAUAAAACAAUAAAAUACAAGUUUUCUUCUUCUUCGUUGCUGAACGAGCUGCCGAAGCUGCUGCUUUCUUACGCCAGAUGGGGUGUAGUGCGCUGGCGACAUCUAUUGCUUGUUCUGCUCCGUGUGAACAUCUUCAUGUGCAGUUUUAGAGUCAUUGCAUCUCCUUAACUCUGUUAUUUAGCAGACGGACUACUGUUAAAAAUACAACUUUAACGAUUCACUCGAAUGUAUUCAAAUAUCUACAAAAAUGUGAAAAUGUCAAUUCGAUUAUUAUCCAUAAUUUUGUGUUAUUUUUACAGCUUCAGAAAUUGUGGCCUAGAGGCCACACUUGUUUAAGUGUGUAGUCACAGGACCUUGUAUGGUCUUUACAGUCUCUGAGAUUAAUAGUCACGGGUACCUAUAAGCAUUUCUUUCAUGAGUACUUACAGUUUCUUGAUACCAAAGUGGCCAUAUGGUUAAAUUUAAUUUCUAAUACUAUUAUAAUACCUACAAAUACACAGACAUUUUCCAUAAAAACGCUUCCAAAUAUAUUAACUUUGUUUAACAAACACACACAUGCAUUUUCCCACUGCCACGUUCAUCAUUUGACCACAUUGAUUGGCGACCAUCCAGCAACUUGCGAGGGGUCAACUGAGCAUAUUGCCAAUCAGAGACUUCGAUUCAAUUUCCUCGACUUGCCAGAGAGACGAUAAUGGGAAUGGAGCAUAAAAGCCAAGUGCGGGUGUUGCAACGCAAACGAUUCAUUCAAAAUCGGAGCAAUCAAGGCAUCACAUCAGGAUCAGGCCAAGACAACAAAAUUACUUUGAGCAUCGUUAGGACCACAACUCUGACUCCGACUUGCAGUCUCCUUCGUAUUGUCUGGGGGAAAUGCCCGAUCAGAAAGGGCAAGACUGCCCCCGUCACAGGGCUGAUGAAGGGGAAAAACAUGAAAAUCAUCUUUCGUGGCAGGCAGCAUCGAAACACCAAGACACCAAUCGCAAUCAGGUGAGGUGGAAGGUGGGAGGUGGAUGACGCGGCGUCCAGGCUGCAUAUGUGAGGCUGUCCGGUCCAGGCCCGGCCAAGUCUUUCACGUGCGGAGAGACAACCCAAAGAAGAAGACUCUCGACUGCUUUUUAUUUUGCUGCCGGCGCUGUCCACAAAUGCAAUACACGCAACGCUGCCAUGGCGGAGCAUCCAGUUCGACAUCAACUGGUUUUCUGCAUCCAGCCCCCUCCAACCCACCACGCAGCACUCACGAACCUUUUCAAUGUGAAAAUCAUAUAAAGAUUUUGAAACCAUUUUGAGUUGCAACUAUUUAGGACAGUAAAACAUUUAAUGCCAUUUAUCUUAUUAAUAUGAACACUAAGGAGAGUCAAAAUUGAGUAUCUACUGUAUUAAUAUUUGAGUUCGUAACACCUACUAUAAAUGUAUAUAUUAUUUGUUGGACAAUGGAAACUUUUCUCACACAAGGCACCUCCUUAAGCGCCUCGUCUAAGCUGUUGCAAGAGCAAUGCAAACACACAGUUUGCUCGCUCAGUUUUAGCUCCGUUCUGAUUCCGUCUCUGUCUCUGUAGCUGUCCUUAUUUUCCUGUCCGUCUGUUGAUGUUCCUGUCUCCGGCUCAUUGUUCGUCUCGGUUCAGUUUGGUUUGGUUCCGUAAAUUACACUUUUGAUUUUUAGUGGCCGUAAAAUAAUCGUAAAUGUCGUGGUUAUUGCGACCGAAAGUGCCCAUUUUGAGUGCUGCUGCUGCUGCUUUCUGUUGCUCCUCCGUAUCACCCCUCUAUAACUGAUAUUUCAGCCAACUCGGUGCAGUGUGCGGACAUGGGACGGCCACCAAGUUGGUUGGGAACGUGCUGCCACUGCACAAGCAGCACGAAUCCCUCCACUCCCCUGCCCACUCUAUCCCCGCGGGGGGCACGUUGCACUUGUUGUUUUUAAUAAGUUUGUGGCGGUUGUUGUUCCUGGCUUUCUUCUGCCUGGCUGAUGCUCCCUUGAUGUUUCGAUUAAGUUCGGAGUUCGCUUCGUCGAACUGGUUGGAUGGGUCUGAGUCUGAGUCUGAGUCUGGCCUGUCCCUGCCACAGCCACUGCUUCUUCCUCCCUCUCUGAGGGAGCAGUUUGGCUUAAGUUUAUGGCCAUUUCGUUCGUUUCACUGUCUUGCGGUUUCGAUGUUGCUUGUGGGGCUUGGCCGUUCCUCUGCCUGUGGAGCUGCCGUCGAGCUGAUUUUCUUGAGCAUUUCACCCAUUUACCUUUAUAUAUUUCGGCUUGUUCAAGACAUUUUCUCACAUCGCAGCUCACGGGGCUCCUCUGCCACACGGCUCUUCGUCUCUGACGCAACUGGUUGCCCAUUGGCCCGCCAGCUCUCUUCUCUACCACGCUCCAUGCACUCUACACUCAAAAAUUUCGAAUUUGAUUUUAUUGUUAUGAUUUCAAUUGUUUUCCCAAUGUAAACACUGGAGAGUGCCAGCACAGAGAGGGCCAACAUGUCGGGUUUUCGGUUAAAUAAUGCUCGAUUUUUAUGAUAGUUUCAAGUUCUACGCGAAUCGUUAGUCAGAGUCUACUUAGGUUGAACGAGGACGAGGCCCGCAAGCUCCUUUGAGGCAGAUUUUCAAACGCUCCAAAUCGACUUUAGCUGGGAGAAACUUUCAUCUUGCAAAUGAGCGAAGAAAGCACAAAUUUCUACCAUUUACCUACCAUGCAAAUUAUUAAAUUAUUCUCAUCUAAUGAUGCAUUUGUCCUACGACUGCCCAGAGGACGGCCUGAUUUAUAGAUUCUAAGUACUGCUUAUCCACCUUAUUAGCAUUCUCAGAUCAUUUCUAUACAAGUCACAUUAGAACGCCCAAUUUCACGAGAACAAUUAUGGGCUGGGCCGCCGGAGGUGAUCAUAAUACCAAUAUGCUCCGGCUAGGCCCUGGCAGGACCCGAAGGUCGAAAGAAAGAAUGAACGAGACGGGACGAUCGGCGUUGAGGGGUCCGGUGCGGACUGGAAACCAAAUCAAUUCAUAAAUCAUAAAAAUGUGUCAUAAAAAAUAUUUGUGUCGCCUUCAAUAAUAACAGCCAUAAAUGGAAAUGGCAGUGGAAACGGAAAAACAACAGCCACAGCCAGGCAGGAGUAUGAAGCUGCCUUUCAACAUGUCCUCGAGAAAGUAAAAAACGCUCAAGGCAAAAGGAGAAGGGAGAAGACUUGUUGGGUGACCUUAGGAGAUUUGUUUUGACUUCUAUCCGAGGCCUGUUAUCGCAUCUCGCCAGAGCCACAACGAUCCCAAAAGAGGACACACAGGACACGGCACAAAUACGUUGGUAUUGUCUGCCUUUGCCAGUUCGAUUAUUGCCGCCUCGGUAAUAAAUCAUAAAAAUAUGUUUAGUCGCAGAGAUGUGAGUAGGGAAUGCUGCCUCGUUACACGGUGGAAUUGGAAUUGUAAAUCCCCUGUAAAAUUGCUCUCGCCCUGCUCUGUAUGCUCAACUCUGCGGUGGUGGCAUCUCUCCAGCAUGGUAUCCCUCUGUAGGUACGACGAUCGCGCCCUCGAGCAUCUGAUAACAAAACCACCAGCAUGGCCAAUGCCCAUGGAAACAAAGGCCAGCAACUUUCUCUUUGGCAUCAUCUGAUUUGGGCCGCAUUCAUCCUCGAGCGUUGCCUUGCCAAAUAUGAGCAUUUUGAUUUAUUUUCGAAAUAUUCUCUCCUCUGAAGAUUUAUUGAUGUGCUGUUGUCAGUAAGAGGCGCCUGGAAUUGUGUUCCUGUGUUCUCCUGUAUCUGCAUUGAAAUUGCGAACUGGAAAGUAGGGGCUGAGCAUUAACACCAUAUUUGUAGCUUAAUAACUUGGCUGAUAAGGCCCCCAAUUAUACAUAAUAUCAUCCAUUAUAAUUUUAAUAAACUCUUGCCUUUGUUUCUUUCUAAUCCGCAGCACAUUAACACUUCCCAUUGGACAGAGAUGGCUUCAUUUUCAGGCCAUGCACGCCAUAUGCAACUUGAGUCGUCUUGCCACAGAUGUCAGUGCUGUACUUGCAGUUGCACCCGCUCAUUCUCAGGGCUGGCUCCACAUGAUUUACUACAAGCAGAUGAUUUAAUGUAACCGCACAUACAUACGUACACGAUACACGAACAUGGGGCAGGCCACUUCAGAUCCAGCCCAGCCCAGACACCCCACAUGUGUUGCAACCGAAGCGUUGCAGCAGUUGAAAGAAGAACCCCGAGACGGCAGUGACGGUGUCCUCCAUCUUGAAAACUGAUGCUUCGAUGAAGCGGCAGAGGAUUCCAUUUAGCAGCGAGAGGUUGAUGAAACAGCAAAUAAACAAAAUCUAAGUAGAAUCUUACAUGUACGCCAACCCUUUCCCGGAAGAGUGCGUUAAUCAGGGUGUCAACGAGCUGCGACCUUGCCGAGAGAGUCCAUUCAGAUGCUGGCCAAAAUACAACAUCAAAACAAAUCGUUAAAAUGCAAUAAAACUCUCAGAGAUGGAGGAGUCCGCAUCCAUAUGCAAUCACUAAACAAGAGCCAAGGCAAAUGCAUUCGAAUAAAAUUUUACCACCAUUUCCUCGAGCAUCAUCAGCAGCAGGAGCAUCAUCAAACUAACGGCGGCAACAUCCGAGGCACCUCAUAAAAGUAAUGACGUCUAUGGCCCAUCAGCAUCUGAUAGAAGCUGAUAGAUACAUUUGUAUCUGCGCACGGAGGCGAGCGGAGGGAUAUCACAAUAAUUAUGGCAUACGUCACGGAACUUGGGUUUUUAUAUCUUUUAUAUUGAUUGUCAUCGUGUCACACUAACAGAUCGUAAAAAAGUCGUAAAAUCCGAAGACUCUCGCUCUGACUCUGCUCCUGUCCGGGCCAAUGGAUGGGCGAGUGAGUGCAUUACCAGAGUGAGCGAUGAAGUCCUCAUCCCUUGGGCUCACAAAACACUCAGGAUCGGGCAGGACCUCAAGCCGACUCCAACUCACACAGGGACAAGCGGAUGAUGAUGAGCUGGAUCGUUACCGUUCUGAGCUCUCAGUUCUGAGUGAUUUUCAGUCUCUGCCGCUCGAGGGGAAGUGGCGUCAAGUCGUAAAAAGGCCAUAAAAUGCUUGGCCUCUGUGUUGGUACUAACCGCAAUUUGUUUAUAUUGUUGUUAAAAUGCCGUUCCAUCUUGUUCUGCUUAGCAUUUAAUUGUCGACUGCCAGCUUUUCUUUUUACGAGCCAAUAAAAUCUAUUUAAC
Molecule: long non-coding RNA, 5422 nt
Filed under: Drosophila guanche
Lineage: Eukaryota; Metazoa; Arthropoda; Insecta; Diptera; Drosophilidae
Source: RNAcentral